CUUAGGUGACGCAGCGGGCAGCCACGGGCAUGGUCAGCCUGGCCCCGGGGCCCGGUAGCUGAUGGACGGGGUGCCCGCACCUCUGAGGUCCUGGACAGCAGUCCGUCGCCUCCCCGGCUCCGAGCCCCGCGGCCCCAGCACGGCCUCACCCUCACCUCCCACACUCAGCUACACCCGCAGAGACCCUUUCCCCAAUGCCCCGCACUGUGAGCCCCGGAGCCUCAGGAAGGCGCUGGGGAGAAUUACGAGGCCCUGAACGAUGGCGCCCCACACAGCUCCACGCUCUGUCCCCCAACAGCGUCGCUCUGACUUUCCACGGGCUGGGCUCAGAUUUGGAGCCCUCCUGCCUCAGCCUCCCACAGUGCUGGAGUAACGGGCGCACACCGUGCCCAGAGACAUGUUUAAAAUGCGAUUCCAGAACAUUCCCACCACCCCAAAGACCCGGCAUCCAUCAGGCAGCCGCUCUUCAGGUCUCCCUGGAACAGCCCAGUGUUCAUCAGCCAGACGGGAAUGGUGCACGGACCGGGCGGAGCUCAUACCUGCUCACGAGCGACUGAGGGUCCGACCUGUCGGUCUCUGACCGCAGCACCGUCUCUGGGGGGGGGGCGGGGAGGCUGGAACUAACAGGGUUUCCACAGCCAGCCCUGUGCUGAAUCAUUUAUGGUGCUUUUGGGUGUGGAAUACUAUACAGUCCCAAAAAAGAAAAAACCAGGCACGGUGGUGCAUCCCUCUAAAUCCAGCUUCUGGGAGGCUGAGGCAGGAGGAGCCCCUGUACGUAGAGCCAGGAUUGGGCAGCCCAGCAACGCUAUGGGAAAACAGAAACAGGCCGGGCCAGCCGCACGUGAGUUUCCACGGGAGAUUCCACCGUUCUCCGGCACCUUUAACUGCAGGCAGAGUGCAGAAAGACGGGUGAACCGAGGCACGGCUUGCACCUGAAAUAUUAAAGCAGCUGACGGGGCCAGCUCAGAACACACAGACUUUCAGUUAGAAAUGAGCUCCUCGGGGAAGAGUCCACAAAGCAGGAGCCCAGAGGCGGGCAGGGACAAACAGCGUCCCUGUCCUCAGAAAAUGCCCAUUGCUACAGAAUGAACCAUUGAGUCUGACGAUUUCUUUUACUGUGCACAGACCCUAGAGGAAGACCUGGGCCGGGCUUCCGCGGUUUCCCCGCCUUGAUCUCGGGGAGCGGACCCCCAGGACGCUGCAAACCCGCCUGGCUGAGGCCGCACCCCGGCCGGCUCCGUGCUGGGCUCUGCGGUGAUACUCAGCUGUCCUGCAUCUCUGCAAAUCCCGGCUCGGAGCGGAGCUCAGCCCAGCACCGGCCACCGCGGGCAGGUUUUUUGGAGGGCACAGCAGGAGACCCAGGACAGCCUCCUGGUCCCCGAUCCCGCCCGGCCUGUCUGCCAACUAAAUGAAGCUAAAGAAACCCAGCCCCUGCUUUUGAAUGUGUUCGAAAAUAUCAAAACAUCUAGAUAAUUCGUUGGGAGAUUUUUCUAGGAAAAGCGGGCUGCAGCCGGGGUGGUGACGCCCGCGGGGCCCAGCACCCCUCGGGAGGCUGAGGCAGGAGGGUCCCCGCGAGCUCGAGCCCGGCCUGGGGAGCUCGGCUUGGGCUGGUGCGUUUGGGUCUUGCAGGCCCGAGAUGUCCGCUUGGCUUCAUCAUUUAUGGGUCUGCAGCGAGGUGAAGCCCCGAGAGACAGAGGAGAAAACGGGGGUCAGUGACUCCCCCAAAAGAGCCCUCUGGGGCUUGCUGGCCCCCACGAUGCCCCGCUGUGCGCCCAGCCCUGGGUUCAUCUGCGGGUGACUUCAGAGCGCUCAGGACCCGGGGUCCCCCCUGCGAUAUCGGGGACACCGGCUCACUGCAGCCCCGGUUUAGGGGUGCGGGCCUGGGGACCCCAGACUUACAUGCAGCUCGUCCUCGAGGGCUGGGGCUCAGCUGGGUGUAAGUCAGGCUUUGCAUCAAGAGAGCAUGAAAGCCUCUCAGGCUUUGGGUUCGUUUUGGUCUGUUACUCCAGGGGGCUGAUAGGAUACUCGGGUGUGGUCACCCCCGGUCACCCCGGAAAGCCUCAUGUUUGGAGCCAGACAGCGCAGGGCCCAGGGUUUAUAUAGACUUUCCUAGGCCACGCCCCUAAGGACAUGGCUACGCCCCCAAUGAUAUAACAUCCUCCUCAGGCCCCGCCCCUUAAAGGUCCCGCGCCUUCCCAGGAGCCCUGCAGACGGGGAACAAAGCCUUCCACACACCCAGUCGCCGCGGGCCCUUUAAGAUGCCAAGCGAUGCCCCCUGUUUCCUGGGGGCCAAAGCUUUGAAAAGGGGGCUGUGUUUUACACUGCAGGUCAGGACAGGGCGGCCCCAGGGGACCCUGAGUGCUCAGCCUCCCGGAUGGAGCAGGAGGCAGAUGCAAAGGCCAGGGGGUCGGGGGUGGGGUGGGGGGCUCAUGAGGGCUGUGUCAGCACUGAGGGCCUGAGGAGCCGGGAGGGCCCGGGAGUGCCCUGCCUCGCCGCCCCGAACCCUGACCCCCACCCCAACCCUGACCCCACAGGCUUAGGGAAAGGCCCAGACCCUGUCACCCCGCAUCCUCCAGGCCGUUGCGGCCCUGAAGUGGGAGGUCUGCUCCCAACCUGCGGGUGGCGCCUUAGGAAGAAAGAGGGUCCCUGCAUUAGAGGGACUCUGGAGAGGAGACCCUCCUGCCUCGGCCUCCUGAAUCCAACGGCAGCGUCCUCAUGACGGACAGAAGAGAGGACACAGACACGGAGGUGGAGGCAGAGCCUGCAGGGACAGGGCAGCGGCCCAGGGCCAUCUGGACUCGGAGGAGGAGGCAGAGGCAGGAGGGUGUCCACCAGGUAGCUGCCCAGUGGUGGGUCCUACGGGGCUUCUUUCCAGGGACCUGGUGACCCAGAGAAAAGCCGCACAUUUCCUGGAGGUGGGAAGAGGAGAAAUCUCCAAGAGAAGGCUCCCCACGGCCCCCAGGUAACGGCAAAGUGGUCUCUUGCACCCAGCCUCCCUGAGCGGGCUCUGGGUCGUGCGCAUGCGGCCCCGGGACGUCCGCCCUAUCAGAAACUCCUUCAUACUGGCGCCAGAUAUGAACCGUCCAAUGGAAAGGCUCGCCGGGUUCCCAGCGGAUGUAAAUGACAAUCAGGAGCCGCGUGUUCGGAUUGGCUGUGCCCACAUGCAAAUGAAGGGCCCAACAUCACAUCUUCUGAUUGGCCCUGGGAAGAGUACUGGAUUUACGUAAAGAACUGGAAUAAAGUAACGCCUUCUCUGAUUGGUUCCAGGGCCGGGCCAGGACCAGGCUGGUCUUCAGGCCACGCCCCGCUCACCUGGCCCGCCCCGGGUUUCCGGGUUCCCAGGGCAUCGGGUUUAGGGGUCCUGGCCGUGUCCUCCAGGCUUCACCUGGGUUCCUCCUGUUAAACCCUCAGAGACACAGGCCACGAACGGGCCUUGAUGGGUCGGUGGAGGCAACCAGAAUCCAGGCUCGCAAGUGAAGUAAGUCAGGCUGGCAUUGUCUCGCUGCUGUGAAACACAAAUACGAUCGAAAAGUCACACGACAGACAGUCACAGGGGAAGGGAGAUUGUGUCCGUGGGUCAGCCCUGCCCGGCUGGGUCUGGCAGCCCGAGCCACGGCCUUUGGGAGGCACAGGGCACCCCGCAGCCCUGGCUGAAGUCCUGCCGUGUGGUUUGAAAUGCUGUCUCGCUCUGCUUUUGACCCUGUUGUGGUCAUCUUGACUUUGUGGUUGUUUUUUAAUCCAGAGAGAGAGACAAACAGAGUUUCCAGCCGUCCAGACUGGUCCGCCGGCUCCCUGCCGGCCAAAUGUAAAAGUCAGUCACUUACCGGGUGACGGGGCAAAGCCUUGGUUAAACGCCAGCUCCAGGGAGAUGGGGCUCCGCGCACCCGGCCACCCCCGGCUGCCCCUCUGCAGCUGAGCUGGGUCCCGCACAGCCGGCUGGUUCCCCGAGCUCGGGUCCUGAUGCACCAAGCCGGGCUCCUUCUCAGGUGCAGCGGCCCCAGGACAAAGGCUCAGGGCUUGGGCGGAUCCGACCUGGCGUCCUCCAACCUGACGGGAGCCGGACCCUGGCUCAAAGGGACAGAAAGACAAACUGCUGCAAAGCCACCGACUGACUGCGUCUGGGCUCCAGGAAGAGAGACCUAAGGACGUCGAGGCGCCCCAGACCCCGCAGCCCGCGGGGGCCACGCAGAGCUCGGCAAACCUCGCAAGGCCUCGCGGAGCUGGCACAGGGCAGGCUGCACCCGGGUGCCGCCUGCAAACCCCGAAGGCUGAGGCCCGGGGUCCCCGCUAUUUGCUCCUCUGUCCCCGAGAACCCGCCCAGGGCUGCAUCUGCUUGGCUCCGUCCGCAGCUCUGGCCUCAGCGGAGGUGUCCGUCUGUCUGUCUGUCUGCCCAUCAGCUGCAGGUCAGCACCGGCGGCCCCAGCACCGCUGAACGGCUGGGGACUGUGACCCCAACACCGGGAGCCCCCGAGACGCCGGGCCGGGCCUGCGGCAUCUGAUUCACGGCCCGGGACUCCUGGAGGACAGAGCGGCCGGGUCAGAACCGAUCCGGUCUCACCGUGCAGCCCAGGCCGGCCUUGAGCUCACUGUGCAGCCGAGGAUGGUCUUGAAUUCGAAGAGAUCCUCCCGCCUCAGCCUCCCGAGCGCUGGGAUGACAGGCGUGCACGCCCACGCCCAGCCUUUGCUUCAUUUUAUUUUAUUUCAUUUUUUUUUAUCAGUACCAGGGAUCGAACUCAGGACCGCCUGCUUGCAAGGCAGGUGCUUAUGCCGCUAAGCUAAAUCCCCAGCCCCUCUGAUUUAUUUUUAACCAGCAUGUAAUGGUCCGGAUUUCCAGGGUGCCCUGUGAGGUUCCCGGGGGCGCCUGCAGCCGGCACUGGGCACACUUGGCCUCACAGACAGGAGCUGUGGCUGUGCCACGAGACGCGGGCGCCCCCUUCUCUAGCCGCUUUGAAGUCUGUAUUUUGUCGGGAAGCACCGCGGACAUCGGGACCCCCGGCCCUGAUUCCAGCUGCUGGGAGGCUGAGGCAGAAGCAUUGUGGGCACCUGAGCAAACCCUGUCUCAAAAUAGCAAAAUAAAGCGAGCUGCCCAGGGGCUCGGUGGGGGGUUAGGUGAGUCCUGCAGCCCCCCGUGUCCCCCCCAAACCUCAGCUCACGGCCGGCUCUACCUGAGCUGGGCCGGGAGGUGCACAGCUGCCGUGCGGCACUUUGAGGGGGGCUGAGGUGGGAGGAUCCACUGCCUUCCUUUUCCUGGCUAUGUAAUAUUCCCUCGCACAAAGGGGCCGUGUUCCGCUGACCCCUUCCUUGAACCCCUCGCCCUUGGGCUGCUUCCGCCUCUCAGCUCUUGUGAACAAAGCUGCUCGGGCCGUGACUAUCUCUUUCCACUUCUUCCUCGGCUUGAUUUUCAAGCUAUUUUUAUCGGUGUCGGGCUGUCUCGGGACCCAGGAGUGGCGCGGAGCCUUCGGGAGUUAAAUCUCCUCUCUGUGCCGUUUGCUAUGAAAACACUUCACCAAGCCAGCGUCCUCCGCGAGGGACACCGAGUCCGUCUCCCCACCGAAGCGGUGAGAUAAAACUUUAAUUGCACGGCUUCUCUGAGAGCUGUGAUUCCCGCCCCGUCAGCAGCUCUGCUCCCUCUAGAAUUGCAAAUUAUUUGAAGCCGUCCCGCCUUCCCCGUGGGUCUUCUCGUCGUGAGGAGCCGGCCACAAGCAGCAGCCUGUGUGGGUCAGCGAGCGGAGCGGGCCCUGUGGCCUCCCCGCCGGGCACGAGCCCUGAGGACGGGGAAGGUGGCCUGCAUGGCCGUUGACCGCAGGACCUUGGACAGGCGGGGAGGCAGCGCUGGCGGGGAGCGGGGCUCCUUUCUGGACGCCGGCCUCCAGCCUGCGUGUUUAGAGGCCGAGAGAAAGUUUCACACAACAACCUUCCUCCAGCUCAGCAACACGGGCGCAGCGUGCUCCUGGUUGGUGCAAACACUUUAUUCUGUGUGCGAAGCAGCUUUACCAGCAUGACACGCGUCACGUGAGUCGAUCUCAGCGCCGUAACCGUGUGCGUGGCUGUAAUGAUUGCACCUCAUGGCCACACAUAACCAUCAAUGCAGGAGAAAAAUAAUCAUAUCACGAGCAAAGAUUAUAAAUGCAACGCGUAACUCAUGCGACACUGUUUUGUAGACUUUUUGGUUGGCUGUAUUGCAGGAAACCUGCAACAUUUUUUAUUGUUGAAAAAUCUGCUAAAAUGCAGGUGGCCGUGUGGGUUUGCAGACUGGGCAGCCCCAGGGUCACGGCGGCCUGCGGACAUGUCGGGCGGCCCAGAGAGGCUGCAGAGAUGGUCUCACCACCCACCAGCGCUCUGAGCCGUCCGGAGUUUAAACCUGCAAAGAUUAUUCAGCCUUUGAUGACGCAGGACCUCACGGAGAGCAGCUGCUGGCGUCUCCACGGGAAUAUCCGGCGCUCGGAUCAGGCUUAACUUGACUUCGUAAAAGCUACUAAAACCGUCCGGCUCUGACAUAUUUAGGCUUCGUAGUCAGCAGGUUCCGUAUUAGAAACCGAGUUCCUUUGCUAAUGAAAUGAAUCACAGAAAUGCAGAGCCACAGCCAGCGUGCAAAGCCAAUCACAGCGACGGCCGAUGGCACGGGUUAAAAGGAGCCGUCAGAGGCCGGGUGUGCGGAGACAGCGGCCCAGCAGGACGCUUUGCAAAUCGGUUUCCAUGUCGCUGAGCAGGGAUUGUUUAAUUAAAUGUCGUCUGUUUAGAUUUUCGGGCCUGUCCAGCACCCCUCCUGGGCUGCUCUGUCCUUUACAAGAUUGUGGCCCUCAGAUCCCAGCCCAGAUCGGUAGCCCCGUCUCCAUAUUACAAGGAAUUGGAGACCAUAUAGAGUUCCCAAGGUGACACCCCGUGACUCACCCAGUGAAUUUUGGUCCCUUCAUGGAUAUAUAUAUGGAUGUAUCAUUUGUCAGGUUGCUUUACUCCAAGUAAGAUGAUUGCUAACUGCACGGGUUGUUGAAUGAAUAUUUUGUUCUGCUGUUGAGUACAGGAUUUGAACUCAGGACCUUGGGUUUGCCAGGCAGGCUCUGUGCCGCUGAGCUAAAUCCCCGGUUUGCAGAGUGAAUGUGUUUUUUUCUCUCUA
Molecule: long non-coding RNA, 7114 nt
Organism: Cavia porcellus (domestic guinea pig)
Lineage: Eukaryota; Metazoa; Chordata; Mammalia; Rodentia; Caviidae
Exons: 4
Source: RefSeq, a predicted model, not a curated record